Molecule: ribosomal RNA, 463 nt
Filed under: uncultured bacterium
Lineage: Bacteria
Description: partial 16S ribosomal RNA
Rfam family: Bacterial small subunit ribosomal RNA
Source: RNAcentral
GAUGAACGCUGACAGAAUGCUUAACACAUGCAAGUCUUUGGCGAAGCUGUGCUCGCACAGCCUAGCCAAGGCGGACGGGUGAGUAACGCGUAAGGAACUUGCCCUGCAGUCAGGGAUAACAGACGGAAACGACUGAUAAGACCUGGUAAAGUCAGGCGGACUCAUGUCCAGCCUGAUGAAAAGAGAUGCUGCAGGAGAGCCUUGCGUCCUAUUAGCUUGUUGGUGGGGUAACGGCCCACCAAGGCGAUGAUAGGUAGCCGGCCUGAGAGGGUGGACGGCCACAAGGGGACUGAGAUACGGCCCUUACUCCUACGGGAGGCAGCAGUGGGGAAUAUUGGACAAUGGGGGCAACCCUGAUCCAGCAAUUCUGUGUGAACGAUGAAGGUUUUCGGAUUGUAAAGUGAUUUCAGCAGGGAAGAAAAAAAUGACGGUACCUGCAGAAGAAGCGACGGCUAAAUACGUG